Molecule: transfer RNA, 71 nt
Filed under: Actinomycetes bacterium
Lineage: Bacteria; Bacillati; Actinomycetota; Actinomycetes
Also listed under: 1 other name
Description: Actinobacteria bacterium tRNA-Val
Rfam family: tRNA
About the family: Transfer RNA (tRNA) molecules are approximately 80 nucleotides in length. Their secondary structure includes four short double-helical elements and three loops (D, anti-codon, and T loops).
Source: RNAcentral
GGGCGGUUACUCAGUUGGGAGAGGACCAGCUCGACAAGCUGGGGUCACUGGUUAGAGGCCAGUACCGCCCA